AUUGAACGCUGGCGGCAGGCCUAACACAUGCAAGUCGAGCGGAUGAAGGGAGCUUGCUCCUGGAUUCAGCGGCGGACGGGUGAGUAAUGCCUAGGAAACUGCCUGGUAGUGGGGGAUAUAGUCCGGAAACGGGCGCUAAAAUCGCAUACGUCCUGAGGGAGAAAGUGGGGGAUCUUCGGACCUCACGCUAUCAGAUGAGCCUAGGUCGGAUUAGCUAGUUGGUGGGGUAAAGGCCUACCACGGCGACGAUCCGUAACUGGUCUGAGAGGAUGAUCAGACACACUGGAACUGAGACACGGUCCAGACUCCUACGGGAGGCAGCAGUGGAGAAUAUUGGACUAUUGGCGAAUGCCUGAUCCAGCCAAGCCGCGUGUGUGAAGAAGGUCUUCAGAUUGUAAAGCACUUUAAGUUGGGAGGAAGGGCAAUAAGUUAAUACCUUGCGGUUAUGACGGUACCAACAGAAUAAGCACCGGCUAACUACGUG
RNAcentral lists this ribosomal RNA (484 nucleotides) under uncultured bacterium. Its description in RNAcentral is "partial 16S ribosomal RNA". It matches the Rfam family "Bacterial small subunit ribosomal RNA", at positions 30 to 507 of the family's 1533-position model. The record is from RNAcentral.